RNAcentral lists this transfer RNA (77 nucleotides) under Clostridiales bacterium. Its description in RNAcentral is "tRNA-Arg". It matches the Rfam family "tRNA". From Rfam's summary of the family: Transfer RNA (tRNA) molecules are approximately 80 nucleotides in length. The record is from RNAcentral. Lineage: Bacteria; Bacillati; Bacillota; Clostridia; Eubacteriales.
GCACCUAUAGCUCAGCAGGAUAGAGCAACGGUUUCCUAAACCGUGUGCCGGGGGUUCGAAUCCCUCUAGGUGCACCA